CCUACGGGAGGCAGCAGUGGGGAAUUUUGCGCAAUGGGCGCAAGCCUGACGCAGCAACGCCGCGUGGGUGAAGAAGGCCUUUGGGUCGUAAAGCCCUUUUCUGGGGGACGAGACUGACGGUACCUCAGGAAUAAGCACCGGCUAACUCCGUGCCAGCAGCCGCGGU
Molecule: ribosomal RNA, 166 nt
Filed under: uncultured Gloeobacter sp.
Lineage: Bacteria; Bacillati; Cyanobacteriota; Cyanophyceae; Gloeobacterales; Gloeobacteraceae
Description: partial 16S ribosomal RNA
Rfam family: Bacterial small subunit ribosomal RNA
Source: RNAcentral